This 924-nucleotide long non-coding RNA is filed under the name Pandoravirus quercus. RNAcentral describes it as "hypothetical ncRNA". The record is from RNAcentral.
GCUGGGUGAGAUCGCCGUACAGGUAACCAUAGCCAGAGCCGGCGCCGCCCGCCUUGACGUCGCCCACGAGGGCGCCCUCGGACGGGCUGCCAAUAUGGUCGUUGUCGAUACCGCCCCCGGGGAUACCGCCGCCGGGCGUAGGACCCGAUGCCGAUGACGACGCGCCGCCGCCACCGCCGCCGCGGCAAAAGUCUGUCGUACUUUCAUAGACAGACCGGGCGCCGCCACCGCCAUAGGCCGUGGCGCGGAACAACUCGGUAUUGUCGGGCGCCACGGCCACAACAAAGGUCUCGCCGCCAUUGCCGCCGUCGCCGCCGGCAUAGUUGGCGUCAUCCAUUGGCACGCCGCCCUUGCCCACAUUGACAAUCCAGCGGACGUCGCUCGGUGCCACAGCCCACUGAGCAUCGCCCACCGUGCGGUUGAGGAUGGCCGAGCCACUGCCGCCGCCCGCGCCACACUCGAGCGAGGACGACCCGGCGCCGCCGCCGCCCCACAGCGUGACCGAGAUGUCGGUGGCGCCCACCGGCGCAGUCCAGUUGGUCGACGCACCCACAAAGACCGUGUAGCGAUAGGCGUCGAUCGGCACGGCAGCACAGCACAAGAGGACCGCAAGCGCGACCAGCGCCGUGGCGGUCUUGGAGGUUGCCGCGUACGAGGCAGUGUACAUGAACGGCCGGGCCAUUUUUGGCAAAGAGAGACGAGUGUGAGUGUGCUUGUUUUAUUUUAAGAUACAGAGGGUAUUUUUAUACCGCAGCGCUUCUUUUUAGGCCGCCGCGCGCAGCGACUGACCCUGGCGCCUUGAGGACGCCGACUGCAUAGAACAAAAAAGGAGAAGGUUUGGCCAAAGUCACGUGCGUUUAGCCUUUUUCCCCUCACAUUGUCGCUGCGCGAGGUGCACAAAAGAAAUUAAAAAAAAUAUUCACG